GGGAGCGUAGCUCAGUCUGGUUAGAGCGCAUGCCUGUCACGCAUGAGGUCGCGAGUUCGAGCCUCGUCGUUCCCGCCA
Molecule: transfer RNA, 78 nt
Filed under: Acinetobacter sp.
Lineage: Bacteria; Pseudomonadati; Pseudomonadota; Gammaproteobacteria; Moraxellales; Moraxellaceae
Also listed under: 17 other names
Description: tRNA-Asp
Rfam family: tRNA
About the family: Transfer RNA (tRNA) molecules are approximately 80 nucleotides in length.
Source: RNAcentral